RNAcentral lists this unclassified non-coding RNA (226 nucleotides) under fungal sp. RNAcentral's name for it is "partial contains small subunit ribosomal RNA, internal transcribed spacer 1, and 5.8S ribosomal RNA". The stretch from base 1 to 47 matches the Rfam family "Eukaryotic small subunit ribosomal RNA", at positions 1785 to 1831 of the family's 1831-position model. Lineage: Eukaryota; Fungi. The record is from RNAcentral.
AAAGUCGUAACAAGGUCUCCGUUGGUGAACCAGCGGAGGGAUCAUUACCGAGUUUACAACUCCCAAACCCCUGUGAACAUACCUUUAUGUUGCCUCGGCGGAUCAGCCCGCGCCCCGUAAAACGGGACGGCCCGCCGCAGGAACCACAAAACUCUGAUUUUAGUGUAACUUCUGAGUCUAAAAAACAAAUAAAUCAAAACUUUCAACAACGGAUCUCUUGGUUCUG